CUCUCUCUCUCUCUGCUUCUCUUUCUUCUCCUUAUUACUUCCUACUUCUCUCUAUCUCUCUCUCUUCACAUUAUUAUAUUCUCUCUGUUUCUUCCAAUCCAAUCUCUCUCUCUCACACACACAGAGAAACUAAACUGAAUAUAGCAGUUUUUGCUUAGAAAGGCCAUGACCCAAUCACCAUCUCUUGUCGAACAGGGUAUUUCUCAACAGGUCAGUUAUUUUUUUUUUCCUUUUUCUUCCUUCCUUAAAGCUUCCUCUGUUUUUCAUGUUCUGUCUCUACUCUGUUUUUGUUCUGUCUGUGACUCUGUUGUAAUGGGGUUUUUCUUCUUCUUAAAGACAAGAUUUUUUCUUCUGGGUUUAUGAUUUAUGUGAACAAUGCGAAUUUUACAGAGAAUUUAUGUGGUUGAGAUUUGAGUUUUUUCGUAUUGGGACUAAGAACAAGUGGAAGUUUAAG
RNAcentral lists this long non-coding RNA (454 nucleotides) under Capsella grandiflora. Its description in RNAcentral is "long non-coding RNA (CGRA_LNC000921)". Lineage: Eukaryota; Viridiplantae; Streptophyta; Magnoliopsida; Brassicales; Brassicaceae. The record is from RNAcentral.